CGGGGAUCAAACUCGGGACCUUGCACUUGCGCGGCAGGCACUAGAACCACUGAGCUAAAUCCCCGGCCCUAGUUUGAUAUUCUAUUUGUUAGUUGAUGAGGAAAAAUGUAAAUAGUUUGAAUGACCCGGAAUUUAUCACUUUGUGAAAUUUUUUCAUUUACUUAUGUUUAUCCUUUCCUACAUCUGUUGGCAGGUUUUUAUGAAGCCUUAGCUUUCACCCACCCCUUUCACAAUACUGUUUUUGAAAUAAAUACCAGGACAAAACAAGUAGAAUUUCACUUUCAGAUGAUAUUUUCUUUCUGCCUCUCUUCAAUCAGUGGUUUGCUGGUUUGUUAACAUUGUCUUCUCGUGGGAUAAAAGUGAAUGUGGGUCUCAGGCAAUCACUUGAAGGCCUUGAUUAAAACUGACUGACCUCCUGGAAGAAGAGGGAAUUCUGGCAGCAAACUGCCUUUGGACUUGAAUCGUGGCUCUGGCCUGAGUCUCCAGCCUAUUGUCCCACCCUGCAAGUUUUGAACUGGCCAACGCUCCACAAUUUAAGCAGUUAAUCAGCCCACUCUCUUUCUUCACAUCCUGUUAUCUUGGUUUCUCUGGAGAACCAUUACAAACACACAUAUAAACAGAAAAUCAUUUGGUUAAGAACCUCUUUUUACUACAAAAAAUGUUUAAUUUCACCUUUUUAAAUAAAAUUGUUUAAGAGAUCUUCUCAUUUCUUUUUGUUGUGUCAGUGUUGAUUUACAUAUAAUAAAGUUCACCAAUUUUGUGUCCAAUUGGAUGAAUCUGACAAUUUUAUACAAUAGCACAACCCACAAACAUCCACAUAUAGAACUUUUCUCCAAUAUCAAAAUAUCUAGCUAUUUAUUUGCAGCCAAUUCACUGCCCUAAACUCCUGGCUAUGGGCAAACACUGAUUUGCUGAGUAUCAUUACAGUUUUGCUUUUCUCAAAUUUAACCAAAAGGAAAAUGAACUCAUAGUAUUUGUGUUUGUCUUUUCUCACUUAGUUUGAGAUUUACUGAUGCUGUUGCAAGUAUCUGUG
This 1033-nucleotide long non-coding RNA is filed under the name Heterocephalus glaber (naked mole-rat). Its description in RNAcentral is "lncRNA (ENSHGLG00100046193.1)". Lineage: Eukaryota; Metazoa; Chordata; Mammalia; Rodentia; Bathyergidae. The record is from RNAcentral.